GAUUAAAUGGCUGAUAAAAGUAAUAGAUUGUAAAUCUAUAAAUAAGGAUAAGUUUCCUUUUUAAUCA
RNAcentral lists this transfer RNA (67 nucleotides) under Dicrotendipes pelochloris. RNAcentral's name for it is "tRNA-Tyr". It matches the Rfam family "tRNA". Rfam says of the family: Transfer RNA (tRNA) molecules are approximately 80 nucleotides in length. Their secondary structure includes four short double-helical elements and three loops (D, anti-codon, and T loops). Lineage: Eukaryota; Metazoa; Arthropoda; Insecta; Diptera; Chironomidae. The record is from RNAcentral.